UACAGAGGUCCCAAGCGUUGUUCGGAUUCACUGGGCGUAAAGGGUGCGUAGGUGGUCGGAUAAGUCUGAUGUGAAAUCUCCGAGCUUAACUCGGAAAUGGCAUUGGAUACUAUUCGGCUAGAGGAUUGGAGGGGGGACUGGAAUACUUGGUGUAGCAGUGAAAUGCGUAGAUAUCAAGUGGAACACCAGUGGCGAAGGCGAGUCCCUGGACAAUUCCUGACACUGAGGCACGAAAGCUAGGGGAGCAAACAGG
This 253-nucleotide unclassified non-coding RNA is filed under the name uncultured Verrucomicrobiota bacterium. Its description in RNAcentral is "uncultured Verrucomicrobia bacterium contains 16S-23S intergenic spacer region". It matches the Rfam family "Bacterial small subunit ribosomal RNA", at positions 524 to 776 of the family's 1533-position model. Lineage: Bacteria; Pseudomonadati; Verrucomicrobiota. The record is from RNAcentral.